This 253-nucleotide ribosomal RNA is filed under the name uncultured bacterium. Its description in RNAcentral is "partial 16S ribosomal RNA". It matches the Rfam family "Bacterial small subunit ribosomal RNA", at positions 524 to 776 of the family's 1533-position model. The record is from RNAcentral.
UACGAAGGGGGCUAGCGUUGCUCGGAAUCACUGGGCGUAAAGCGCACGUAGGCGGACUCUUAAGUCGGUGGUGAAAUCCUGGAGCUCAACUCCAGAACUGCCUUCGAUACUGAGAGUCUCGAGUCCGGGAGAGGUGAGUGGAACUGCGAGUGUAGAGGUGACAUUCGUAGAUAUUCGCAAGAACACCAGUGGCGAAGGCGGCUCACUGGCCCGGUACUGACGCUGAGGUGCGAAAGCGUGGGGAGCAAACAGG